This 72-nucleotide transfer RNA is filed under the name Pelodiscus sinensis (Chinese soft-shelled turtle). It matches the Rfam family "tRNA". Rfam says of the family: Transfer RNA (tRNA) molecules are approximately 80 nucleotides in length. Their secondary structure includes four short double-helical elements and three loops (D, anti-codon, and T loops). Lineage: Eukaryota; Metazoa; Chordata; Testudines; Trionychidae. The record is from Rfam by way of RNAcentral.
GGCAAGCUGGCCUAGUGGUUAGGGCACCAGGCUAGCAACCAGGACACCUGGCUUCAAGUCCUGGCUCUGUCA